UACGUAGGGGGCAAGCGUUGUCCGGAUUUAUUGGACGUAAAGAGCGUGUAGGCGGCCUGGUAGGUCUGCUGUGAAAACUCGAGGCUCAACCUCGAGAUGUCGGCGGAAACCAUCUGGCUAGAGUCCGGAAGAGGAGAGUGGAAUUCCUGGUGUAGCGGUGAAAUGCGCAGAUAUCAGGAAGAACACCGGUGGCGAAGGCGGCUUGCUGGGCCAGUUCUGACGCUGAGGAGCGAAAGCGUGGGGAGCGAACAGG
RNAcentral lists this ribosomal RNA (253 nucleotides) under uncultured bacterium. RNAcentral describes it as "partial 16S ribosomal RNA". It matches the Rfam family "Bacterial small subunit ribosomal RNA", at positions 524 to 776 of the family's 1533-position model. The record is from RNAcentral.